This 582-nucleotide ribosomal RNA is filed under the name uncultured bacterium. Its description in RNAcentral is "partial 16S ribosomal RNA". It matches the Rfam family "Bacterial small subunit ribosomal RNA", at positions 355 to 928 of the family's 1533-position model. The record is from RNAcentral.
UGGGGAAUUUUGGACAAUGGGCGCAAGCCUGAUCCAGCCAUGCCGCGUGCGGGAAGAAGGCCUUCGGGUUGUAAACCGCUUUUGUCAGGGAAGAAAUCUUCUGAGUUAAUACCUCGGGGAGGAUGACGGUACCUGAAGAAUAAGCACCGGCUAACUACGUGCCAGCAGCCGCGGUAAUACGUAGGGUGCAAGCGUUAGUCGGAAUUACUGGGCGUAAAGCGUGCGCAGGCGGUUUUGUAAGACAGAGGUGAAAUCCCCGGGCUCAACCUGGGAACUGCCUUUGUGACUGCAAGGCUUGAGUGCGGCAGAGGGGGGAUGGAAUUCCGCGUGUAGCAGUGAAAUGCGUAGAUAUGCGGAGGAACACCGAUGGCGAAGGCAAUCCCCUGGGCCUGCACUGACGCUCAUGCACGAAAGCGUGGGGAGCAAACAGGAUUAGAUACCCUGGUAGUCCACGCCCUAAACGAUGUCAACUGGUUGUUGGGAAGGUUCCCUCUCAGUAACGUAGCUAACGCGUGAAGUUGACCGCCUGGGGAGUACGGCCGCAAGGUUGAAACUUAAAUGAAUUGACGGGGGUCAUAGCUG